Molecule: non-coding RNA, 237 nt
Filed under: Proteiniclasticum ruminis
Lineage: Bacteria; Bacillati; Bacillota; Clostridia; Eubacteriales; Clostridiaceae
Description: T-box sequence
Rfam family: T-box leader
About the family: Uncharged tRNA acts as the effector for transcription antitermination of genes in the T-box leader family. T-boxes are found upstream of many aminoacyl-tRNA synthetase genes and some amino acid biosynthetic genes usually in Gram-positive bacteria.
Source: RNAcentral
AUAUAGACGAAGAAGAGAAGAGUACAGAAUGAAUGCUUUUCAGAGAGCCUCCGGUUUGGUGAAAGAGAGGUAAAGAGGAAAUUCUGGAAGAUGGCCUUGGAGUCUUGCAUCUGAAUAAUCAGGAUGCACGGAUGCCACCGUUAAAGGGCAGGGUGAUAAGGAGUCACCUUUUGAGGCAGUCUGCUGUGAAGCGGCUGCAAAGUAGAGUGGUAACACGUUGUAAAACACGUCUCUAUG